Pelobates cultripes (western spadefoot toad) is the source of this 227-nucleotide non-coding RNA. The record is from the annotation of a GenBank genome assembly. Lineage: Eukaryota; Metazoa; Chordata; Amphibia; Anura; Pelobatidae.
CCCUGAUGAAAUGACGUCCAUGGUCAGAUCAGGACAUGUAAACAUUUAGAAAAUAUGCAGGAAACCAGAUGAUGGGUUGGGCAUUGAAAUGGGCCACAAGUAUCAAUUCCUUCAACUAAUAGAGUUACUGUUGUGCAAAAAAAUUGAAGACAAGUACAGUAUAUUACAUCUGCAGAGGCAAGUUGAUAUUUGAUUUCAUUUUACUCCACAAUUAUAGAUCCAGUUAU